Small nuclear RNA from Cercocebus atys (sooty mangabey), 107 nucleotides. The record is from Ensembl. NCBI's taxonomy places the organism in Eukaryota, Metazoa, Chordata, Mammalia, Primates, Cercopithecidae.
GUGCUUGCUUCAGCAGCACAUAUACUAAAAUUGGAAUGAUAUAGAGAAGAUAAGCAUGGCCCCUGCACAGGGAUGACACACAAAUUUGUGAAGCAUUCCAUAUUUUU